This 253-nucleotide ribosomal RNA is filed under the name uncultured bacterium. RNAcentral describes it as "partial 16S ribosomal RNA". It matches the Rfam family "Bacterial small subunit ribosomal RNA", at positions 524 to 776 of the family's 1533-position model. The record is from RNAcentral.
UACGUAGGUGGCAAGCGUUGUCCGGAUUUACUGGGCGUAAAGAGCGCGCAGGCGGUCUUGUAAGUCGCAUGUGAAAGCCCCUGGCUCAACCAGGGAGGGUCAUUCGAUACUGCUUGACUCGAAGGCAGGAGAGGGAAGUGGAAUUCCGGGUGUAGUGGUGAAAUGCGUAGAUAUCCGGAGGAACACCAAUUGCGAAGGCAGCUCGCUGGGACGUUACUGACGCUGAGACGCGAAAGCGUGGGGAGCAAACAGG